AGUGAACGCUGGCGGUAGGCCUAACACAUGCAAGUCGAACGGCAGCACAGUAAGAGCUUGCUCUUACGGGUGGCGAGUGGCGGACGGGUGAGGAAUACAUCGGAAUCUACUUUUUCGUGGGGGAUAACGUAGGGAAACUUACGCUAAUACCGCAUACGACCUACGGGUGAAAGCAGGGGAUCUUCGGACCUUGCGCGAUUGAAUGAGCCGAUGUCGGAUUAGCUAGUUGGCGGGGUAAAGGCCCACCAAGGCGACGAUCCGUAGCUGGUCUGAGAGGAUGAUCAGCCACACUGGAACUGAGACACUGUCCAGACUCCUACGGGAGGCAGCAGUGGGGAAUAUUGGACAAUGGGCGCAAGCCUGAUCCAGCCAUACCGCGUGGGUGAAGAAGGCCUUCGGGUUGUAAAGCCCUUUUGUUGGGAAAGAAAAGCAGCAGGUUAAUACCCCGCUGUCCUGACGGUACCCAAAGAAUAAGCACCGGCUAACUUCGUG
Molecule: ribosomal RNA, 492 nt
Filed under: uncultured bacterium
Lineage: Bacteria
Description: partial 16S ribosomal RNA
Rfam family: Bacterial small subunit ribosomal RNA
Source: RNAcentral